UCCCUAUAUUUAUUGAGGUUUGCUAAAUGGUUUCUGAUGAUCUCACAUAGUCGCCUAAAUUCUGUUGUCCGCUUGUAUUGUUUGCAGAAUUGGAAAGCUCGAUGCGCUGUCAUCGCAUAUAAUGCCUCCAACUUCGAGUUGUUUCGUAAUAUUUCAAGCACAGUUCUAUAGGUCUCCCACAGAAACUUGAACCAAGGGGUAACAAGUUCACGAUCAGACCUAUCCUUUCCCUUCUCUCCAGUGACAUAACUCAGCAUCAGGUCUUCUGGUCUCUUAUCUGCUUCAAGAUCAUCAACAUCCAGAGCUUCUUCUAGUGCUUGUGCCUGACUACGAGCUUGUUCAGCUUUCUCAGUGGAGAGAUGCAUGAAAUGCUUGAUUACCUCCUCCAAGGAAUUUACAUUCACUUGUUGGCACACUAUGCGAUACUGUAUUAAACCAUCCUUUGCAAACCUUCCCCUCCGCAUGUCAACACAAAGCUCCACAUAUUUGAACAUGAUCUUUUCAAGUGUCUUUUGCCAUGCUCGGUACCUCUUUGAGGUGAUGAGAUCAUGCAGAGCUUGCAAAGCAUCUUGCUUCUGCCCCACAUUUAUCAACUCUUCAGCUCGCUUUAAAGCGUUCUCUGGUUUGGCAAAAGUCGC
RNAcentral lists this unclassified non-coding RNA (638 nucleotides) under Hevea brasiliensis (rubber tree). The record is from RNAcentral. Lineage: Eukaryota; Viridiplantae; Streptophyta; Magnoliopsida; Malpighiales; Euphorbiaceae.